AACGAACGCUGGCGGCAGGCCUAACACAUGCAAGUCGAGGGGAAACGAUAUUGGAAGCUUGCUUCCGAUAGGCGUCGACCGGCGCACGGGUGAGUAACGCGUAUCCAACCUGCCCACCACUUGGGGAUAACCUUGCGAAAGUAAGACUAAUACCCAAUGAUAUCUCUAGAAGACAUCUGAAGGAGAUUAAAGAUUUAUCGGUGAUGGAUGGGGAUGCGUCUGAUUAGCUUGUUGGCGGGGUAACGGCCCACCAAGGCGACGAUCAGUAGGGGUUCUGAGAGGAAGGUCCCCCACAUUGGAACUGAGACACGGUCCAAACUCCCACGGGAGGCAGCAGUGAGGAAUAUUGGUCAAUGGACGAGAGUCUGAACCAGCCAAGUAGCGUGCAGGAUGACGGCCCUAUGGGUUGUAAACUGCUUUUAUAAGGGAAUAAAGUGAGCCUCGUGAGGCUUUUUGCAUGUACCUUAUGAAUAAGGACCGGCUAAUUCCGUGCCAGCCGCCGCCGUAA
RNAcentral lists this ribosomal RNA (508 nucleotides) under uncultured bacterium. Its description in RNAcentral is "partial 16S ribosomal RNA". It matches the Rfam family "Bacterial small subunit ribosomal RNA", at positions 29 to 523 of the family's 1533-position model. The record is from RNAcentral.